RNAcentral lists this ribosomal RNA (492 nucleotides) under uncultured bacterium. RNAcentral's name for it is "partial 16S ribosomal RNA". It matches the Rfam family "Bacterial small subunit ribosomal RNA", at positions 29 to 507 of the family's 1533-position model. The record is from RNAcentral.
AGUGAACGCUGGCGGUAGGCCUAACACAUGCAAGUCGAACGGCAGCACAGUAAGAGCUUGCUCUUACGGGUGGCGAGUGGCGGACGGGUGAGGAAUACAUCGGAAUCUACUUUUUCGUGGGGGAUAACGUAGGGAAACUUACGCUAAUACCGCAUACGACCUACGGGUGAAAGCAGGGGAUCUUCGGACCUUGCGCGAUUGAAUGAGCCGAUGUCGGAUUAGCUAGUUGGCGGGGUAAAGGCCCACCAAGGCGACGAUCCGUAGCUGGUCUGAGAGGAUGAUCAGCCACACUGGAACUGGGACACGGUCCAGACUCCUACGGGAGGCAGCAGUGGGGAAUAUUGGACAAUGGGCGCAAGCCUGAUCCAGCCAUACCGCGUGGGUGAAGAAGGCCUUCGGGUUGUAAGGCCCUUUUGUUGGGAAAGAAAAGCAGCAGGUUAAUACCCCGCUGUUCUGACGGUACCCAAAGAAUAAGCACCGGCUAACUUCGUG